GUCCUACGAAAGCUAACUGCCCCGUGCUUCUCCGCCCAUGCAUAGGCAGCCUACUCUAUUUCAUUGAGACCACACAUAUACUAGGGCACUUGAUCUCGCACGCCCAACGAGGAGAGUACCAAAAACAAAGUGAGUCUUAAAGCUCUUCGAAGGCACCAAGAUGAUGAAGUAAGCAUGAAAGCUGCUCUUCCUGGUCCCGACUGCAAGAAGAUAUGGUUGGCGGCUCUGGUCAAUCGCGUCAAGGUGCUCCUGGAUACUGGUUCCUGCCUAAAGACAACAAAAAUGAACACCAUCAUUAGUUCAUCUUAACGACUGCAGCACUGUCCAUGAAUAAGAAUACCAAUACAAACCUUUUGGAAUAUCACAAGAUGCUGUUCAGCUUGGGAUGCAGACAUCAUGCCUUGUCUUUUGCGGCCUUGUGAUGAAGGAAUAAUCAAAUGGAGCAGGAGAAGGAUGGAGGAAAGGUCACCGUUCCAUCCUAAACAAAGAAGAGAUCCUGAUUUAAAAUGAUCUUUGAUGCUGUCAUAAGGAGCUUCCAUCACUCAAAAUGAUUGCAUCAUCCGACUCAUGGUCUGAACCACACAUUACAGAACUGGCAGAGACAGGACUCAUCAGGGAAGAUUCUGAAAUACACGAUGACAAUACAGGCAUGUUAAAUGUAUAGUUAUAUUGAAAGUGAUGCCACAAGUAGUCAAGACUUGAAAACCAGCACAUACCUUUAGCAUCAAACACCAAGAUCUGGCUGUUUCUCCACCUCAUCAACUUUAGUUCCAGACCCAUCAUACAGCUUUGCCUCUGAUAAACUAAUGGGAUCUCAAAUUUCAGGAAAGCUGUGACAAACAUUAAAACAACAACCUCCAAUUAGAAUUGCAAUCGUAAUGGUAAGAGUACUCAGACUGACUUGGAUGAAAAAGCAUUACAUUUGUAUUUCAAUCAUGACACAUUAUAUCAGGAUGACUGCAAACAUUUACCAAUACUCCUUUACUUAGCAAUGCUAAUUUAAAAAUACGUUCUGAAAAUAUUGGAUCAUGACCAGAACUUGUCUGAUAUUACUUGAAGCAGGUCCCAACUACAGCAAAAAGACUAUUCCACUCACAUUCACUGUCCCAAAAUGUGGACAUGGCCUAAUUAGUCCAGUAAAAUACACUCGUAAUUCCAGC
Long non-coding RNA from Oncorhynchus tshawytscha (Chinook salmon), 1160 nucleotides. NCBI's taxonomy places the organism in Eukaryota, Metazoa, Chordata, Actinopteri, Salmoniformes, Salmonidae. The record is from Ensembl.